UGAAGUAAAAGUCGUAACAAGGUUUCCGUAGGUAAACCUGCGGAAGGAUCAUUACCGAGUGAGGGCCCUCUGGGUCCAACCUCCCACCCGUGUUUAUUUUACCUUGUUGCUUCGGCGGGCCCGCCUUAACUGGCCGCCGGGGGGCUUACGCCCCCGGGCCCGCGCCCGCCGAAGACACCCUCGAACUCUGUCUGAAGAUUGUAGUCUGAGUGAAAAUAUAAAUUAUUUAAAACUUUCAACAACGGAUCUCUUGGUUCCGGCAUCGAUGAAGAACGCAGCGAAAUGCGAUACGUAAUGUGAAUUGCAAAUUCAGUGAAUCAUCGAGUCUUUGAACGCACAUUGCGCCCCCUGGUAUUCCGGGGGGCAUGCCUGUCCGAGCGUCAUUGCUGCCCUCAAGCACGGCUUGUGUGUUGGGCCCCGUCCUCCGAUCCCGGGGGACGGGCCCGAAAGGCAGCGGCGGCACCGCGUCCGGUCCUCGAGCGUAUGGGGCUUUGUCACCCGCUCUGUAGGCCCGGCCGGCGCUUGCCGAUCAACCCAAAUUUUUAUCCAGGUUGACCUCGGAUCAGGUAGGGAUACCCGCUGAACUUAAGCAUAUCAAUAAGCGGAGGA
Molecule: ribosomal RNA, 609 nt
Filed under: Penicillium sp. F23
Lineage: Eukaryota; Fungi; Ascomycota; Eurotiomycetes; Eurotiales; Aspergillaceae
Description: eukaryotic LSU rRNA
Rfam family: 5.8S ribosomal RNA (bases 231-383)
Source: RNAcentral